UACGAAGGGGGCUAGCGUUGCUCGGAAUCACUGGGCGUAAAGCGCACGUAGGCGGACUCUUAAGUCAGGGGUGAAAUCCUGGAGCUCAACUCCAGAACUGCCUUUGAUGCUGGGAGUCUUGAGUUCGGGAGAGGUGAGUGGAACUGCGAGUGUAGAGGUGAAAUUCGUAGAUAUUCGCAAGAACACCAGUGGCGAAGGCGGCUCACUGGCCCGAUACUGACGCUGAGGUGCGAAAGCGUGGGGAGCAAACAGG
RNAcentral lists this ribosomal RNA (253 nucleotides) under uncultured bacterium. RNAcentral describes it as "partial 16S ribosomal RNA". It matches the Rfam family "Bacterial small subunit ribosomal RNA", at positions 524 to 776 of the family's 1533-position model. The record is from RNAcentral.